CCGAGUUUUUAUUACUCCAAACCCUUUGCCAAUCUACCUCUGAUAUGCUUCGGCGGCCGGCCCUGGGAGGGCGCUGAAAAAAACGGUCGCCGAUAGUAUUUUUUCAAAAACUUUUUCUGUCAGUGUAUUCUGAAUCACUAUAAGAAAACAAAUCA
This 155-nucleotide unclassified non-coding RNA is filed under the name uncultured fungus. Its description in RNAcentral is "sequence contains ITS1". Lineage: Eukaryota; Fungi. The record is from RNAcentral.